GCGACUGUUCGAGCUGGACGGAAUAGAUCCGAUCCAUCCGUAUCGUUGCUAUUCCGACCCAAACAGCGUUCGACUUACAGCAUUCGAAAAAUCAGUAGACCAGAGUUUCUGCACCAUCUAAAGAGAGACUUUUUAUUGAGAUCUCACUUCCUUGAUUUUGAGAACAAGCUGGAGCAUGAAGAACAUCAGGCUGCUUUAAUGAACAGUGGAGAAGUGCUGUGUUUGUGCAGGAUGUGUUCUUCUCAAAGUAGACAUUAAUCGUAGUAAAUUUUUGCUACAAGGCCAAUGGACAUACAUGCAAUCAAAUUAUUUUACACAAAGCCCUAGAUUGCUUCCUUAACCGUAUGGAUGUCUGGAUUCUUCAGUGAAGCUUGUUGGACCUUCUUUUAUGGAAAGGGAACAUAGCACGCUCCUUGCAUGCAUUAUAUCCCAGGCACAACCACGAAAGGACCUCAAAGGACAUGGCUCCCAGAGACCGAACAUCAGAAAUAGAUGGAAUGAUUUCAAAAUUGGAGGUGACUUGCCCAGACCAUGGUCUCCUGACAGCAAUUUUUAUCUACAUUAUGAUUUCCCUGUUGUUUAAUUAAGGUAUAUACUUAAUAAAUGCAAAACAAGGUAUGUGGUAUGGGAGGUCUGUAUUUUGGAUACUUUUCAUAACUUUUAAUCUUUAAUGUUUAGUCUCCAUUAUCAGUUAACCUAUAUUUUUGAGCAUUUAUGU
Python bivittatus (Burmese python) is the source of this 718-nucleotide long non-coding RNA. RefSeq lists it as uncharacterized. NCBI's taxonomy places the organism in Eukaryota, Metazoa, Chordata, Lepidosauria, Squamata, Pythonidae. The record is from RefSeq and is a predicted model, not a curated record.